Molecule: ribosomal RNA, 254 nt
Filed under: uncultured bacterium
Lineage: Bacteria
Description: partial 16S ribosomal RNA
Rfam family: Bacterial small subunit ribosomal RNA
Source: RNAcentral
CGUAGGUGGCAAGCGUUGUCCGGAAUUAUUGGGCGUAAAGCGCGCGCAGGCGGUCCUUUAAGUCUGAUGUGAAAGCCCACGGCUCAACCGUGGAGGGUCAUUGGAAACUGGGGGACUUGAGUACAGAAGAGGAAAGCGGAAUUCCACGUGUAGCGGUGAAAUGCGUAGAGAUGUGGAGGAACACCAGUGGCGAAGGCGGCUUUCUGGUCUGUAACUGACGCUGAGGCGCGAAAGCGUGGGGAGCAAACAGGAUU